Molecule: long non-coding RNA, 1576 nt
Filed under: Pandoravirus celtis
Description: hypothetical ncRNA
Source: RNAcentral
CACGUGCUGGCGGUGGCGGCCGUAGCGUCGACGCUGUCGGUCGGGUUGGCCCUCAAAAACUUGUUUUGCCAUGAGCGAAAGUUGUACUUGCCGUUAUCCAGUCGGAUGGCCGUCCACUGCUCCCAGGCCUGGAUCGAGGUGGCGGCGGCCGACACGCCGCUAUAACUGUGCGCCGUCAGGUACUUGCCGCUCACCGACGAGCGCAGGCCGACGACGGGCGACACGGGAUGGGUGUACUCGAUGAGGGCGCCGCCAGCAGCGCCGUUGCUGUCGGCAUAGAGGCGGGUCGGGUAGCACAAGUAGGCCGAGCCGCCGCCCGAUCCACUGUUGGGCGGCGGCGACUUGGGCACCGCCGUCUGCGAGUCACCGCCGUUGCCGUUAAAGCCGGCCGCACCGCCGGAACCGUAGCACGGGAUCACCACCUGACCCUGGCCGCCGGCCCACUGGCGGUUGGGCGACGUCCACCCGGCACCCACGGUAAAGGGCAUUGACAGUGUGUCGUAGGCAUAACCAUAGCCGGCACCGGCACCGCCGGCCUUGACGUCGCCGAUCGUGGCGCCCUCCUGCGGUGCGGCCAACGGGUUGUCGUCGGCGGCGCCUCUGGGACUGCCGCCACCCGGAUAGGUGCCUAUAGCGCCCGAGGUGGCACCACCGCCGGCACCGCCCUGACAUCCGCGUCGGGUCGUGGUGAUGAUCGAAUAGCCGCCGCCGCCGCCAUAGGCCGCCGCGCGGAACAACUCGGUGCCGUUGGGUGCAGUGGCAACCACGACCGUGUUGCCGCCGUUGCCCGCCGCGCCGCCAUAGGUGGGGCUGUUGAGGCCCCAUCCGCCGCCGCCCGUGACGAUCGACCAUUGGACCUGGUUGACAGGCACGGGCCAGGUGGCAUCACCCGCCGCGCGGAACAUGACCGCCGAGCCGCUGCCGCCGCCCGCCGUGCAAAAGCCCGUCGAUGAGCCGCCUCCGCCGCCGCCCCACAGGCUGACGACGACGUUGGUGGCGUUGGAGGGGAGGGACCACGUCUGCGACGCGCGAAAGAGCACCGAGUAGCGAUGGCCGUGGGCCGGACCCGCGGCGCAGCCGAGAAGCGCCACGAGGGCCAAGAAGACAGCCAGACGAUUCAUGGCAGAUUCUCGGGAUCGCUCGGCAGAGGACUGUUCUUUGUCAGGGGCAUCGCCAACUUGCGGGACCCGUUGGUCCGUCGACAAGUGUGCCGCUCACUGACCUCGUGUUGCCCGACGCAACCAAGAACCCAUUACGGAGGACCCAAUUCGAGUCUUUCGAGUCUCUUUCCGUGCAUCUGGUCACGUAGAUUGCGUGCUUUUUGCAGGUUUUUCGCCCACGCGCACACGCGCCAAAAAGCACGCUGCAACGACACCGAUUUUCUCUAGGGUUUUCCAUUUCCUAUUGUUUUAUCAUUUAAUUUUCUUUUUUUCCUGUGUCGUGGUCGCCUUUUGCGCAACACACCACAGAGAAUCACGUGAAAAAAAGAGUGCCGCCUGGCCGAUUUUUUGGUGUGCACCAUAAAAAAAAAGAGGCGAGGCGGCGUCGGCGCGGUCUCGCCCUCCUUUCAAAAAAG